GGGAAUUUUUGGACAAUGGGCGCAAGCCUGAUCCAGCCAUGCCGCGUGAGUGAAGAAGGCCUUCGGGUUGUAAAGCUCUUUCGGCCGGGAAGAAAUCGUGUUCUCUAACAUAGGACAUGGAUGACGGUACCGGACUAAGAAGCACCGGCUAACUACGUGCC
This 161-nucleotide ribosomal RNA is filed under the name uncultured bacterium. Its description in RNAcentral is "partial 16S ribosomal RNA". It matches the Rfam family "Bacterial small subunit ribosomal RNA", at positions 356 to 509 of the family's 1533-position model. The record is from RNAcentral.